RNAcentral lists this ribosomal RNA (200 nucleotides) under uncultured bacterium. RNAcentral describes it as "partial 16S ribosomal RNA". It matches the Rfam family "Bacterial small subunit ribosomal RNA", at positions 28 to 223 of the family's 1533-position model. The record is from RNAcentral.
GAUGAACGCUAGCGGCAGGCUUAAUACAUGCAAGUCGAGGGGCAGCACAGUGUAGCAAUACAUGGGUGGCGACCGGCAAACGGGUGCGGAACACGUACAGAACCUUCCUUCGAGCGGGGGAUAGCCCGGCGAAAGCCGGAUUAAUACCCCAUAGUAAGCUGGAGAGGCAUCUCUUUGGUUUUAAAGAUUUAUCACUUGAA